Molecule: ribosomal RNA, 1724 nt
Filed under: Proteus mirabilis
Lineage: Bacteria; Pseudomonadati; Pseudomonadota; Gammaproteobacteria; Enterobacterales; Morganellaceae
Description: partial 23S ribosomal RNA
Rfam family: Bacterial large subunit ribosomal RNA
Source: RNAcentral
GUUGGGUAGGGGAGCGUUCUGUAAGCCUGCGAAGGUGUACUGUGAGGUAUGCUGGAGGUAUCAGAAGUGCGAAUGCUGACAUAAGUAACGAUAAUGCGGGUGAAAAACCCGCACGCCGGAAGACCAAGGGUUCCUGUCCAACGUUAAUCGGGGCAGGGUGAGUCGACCCCUAAGGCGAGGCUGAAAAGCGUAGUCGAUGGGAAACGGGUUAAUAUUCCCGUACUGGUGGUAACUGCGAUGGGGGAACGGAGAAGGCUAGGUUGUCCGGGCGACGGUCGUCCCGGUUCAAGCAGGUAGGCAGAGUGAUUAGGCAAAUCCGGUCACUUAAUGCUGAGAUGUGAUGACGAACCACUAAGGUGGUGAAGCAAUUGAUGCCCCGCUUCCAGGAAAAGCCUCUAAGCUUCAGGUUACCAACAAUCGUACCCCAAACCGACACAGGUGGUCAGGUAGAGAAUACUCAGGCGCUUGAGAGAACUCGGGUGAAGGAACUAGGCAAAAUGGUGCCGUAACUUCGGGAGAAGGCACGCUGGCGGUAGGUAAAGUCCCUCGCGGACGGAGCUGAAGCCAGUCGAAGAUACCAGCUGGCUGCAACUGUUUAUUAAAAACACAGCACUGUGCAAACACGAAAGUGGACGUAUACGGUGUGACGCCUGCCCGGUGCUGGAAGGUUAAUUGAUGGGGUUAGCCGUAAGGCGAAGCUCCUGAUCGAAGCCCCAGUAAACGGCGGCCGUAACUAUAACGGUCCUAAGGUAGCGAAAUUCCUUGUCGGGUAAGUUCCGACCUGCACGAAUGGCGUAAUGAUGGCCAGGCUGUCUCCACCCGAGACUCAGUGAAAUUGAACUCGCUGUGAAGAUGCAGUGUACCCGCGGCAAGACGGAAAGACCCCGUGAACCUUUACUAUAGCUUGACACUGAACAUUGAGCCUUGAUGUGUAGGAUAGGUGGGAGGCUUUGAAGUGUGGACGCCAGUCUGCAUGGAGCCAACCUUGAAAUACCACCCUUUAACGUUUGAUGUUCUAACCUAGGCCCAUAAACUGGGUCGGGGACCGUGUCUGGUGGGUAGUUUGACUGGGGCGGUCUCCUCCUAAAGAGUAACGGAGGAGCACGAAGGUUGGCUAAGCAUGGUCGGACAUCAUGCGGUUAGUGCAAAGGCAUAAGCCAGCUUGACUGCGAGAGUGACGGCUCGAGCAGGUACGAAAGUAGGUCUUAGUGAUCCGGUGGUUCUGAAUGGAAGGGCCAUCGCUCAACGGAUAAAAGGUACUCCGGGGAUAACAGGCUGAUACCGCCCAAGAGUUCAUAUCGACGGCGGUGUUUGGCACCUCGAUGUCGGCUCAUCACAUCCUGGGGCUGAAGUAGGUCCCAAGGGUAUGGCUGUUCGCCAUUUAAAGUGGUACGCGAGCUGGGUUUAGAACGUCGUGAGACAGUUCGGUCCCUAUCUGCCGUGGGCGUUGGAAGAUUGAGAGGGGUUGCUCCUAGUACGAGAGGACCGGAGUGAACGCACCACUGGUGUUCGGGUUGUCAUGCCAAUGGCAUUGCCCGGUAGCUAAGUGCGGAAGAGAUAACCGCUGAAAGCAUCUAAGCGGGAAACUUGCCUCGAGAUGAGUCUUCCCUGUCGCUUUAAGCGACCUAAAGGAACGUUUAAGACUAAGACGUUGAUAGGCUGGGUGUGUAAGCGUAGCGAUACGUUGAGCUAACCAGUACUAAUGAACCGUGAGGCUUAACCUG